GACGAACGCUGGCGGCGUGCUUAACACAUGCAAGUCGAGCGGUAAGGCUCCUUCGUGAGUACACGAGCGGCGAACGGGUGAGUAACACGUGCGUAAUCUGCCCUUCACUUUGGGAUAACCACCGGAAACGGUGGCUAAUACCGAAUACGACCAGUCUUCGCAUGAGGUGCUGGUGGAAAGUCUUUUCGGUGAAGGAUGUGCUCGCGGCCUAUCAGCUUGUUGGUGGGGUAAUGGCCUACCAAGGCUUCGACGGGUAGCCGGCCUGAGAGGGUGACCGGCCACACUGGGACUGAGACACGGCCCAGACUCCUACGGGAGGCAGCAGUGGGGAAUAUUGGACAAUGGGCGAAAGCCUGAUCCAGCAACGCCGCGUGAGGGAUGACGGCCUUCGGGUUGUAAACCUCUUUCAGUACCGACGAAGCGCCCUGUCGGGUGGUGACGGUAGGUACAGAAGAAGGACCGGCCAACUACGUG
Molecule: ribosomal RNA, 474 nt
Filed under: uncultured bacterium
Lineage: Bacteria
Description: partial 16S ribosomal RNA
Rfam family: Bacterial small subunit ribosomal RNA
Source: RNAcentral